AAAUUGAAGAGUUUGAUCAUGGCUCAGAUUGAACGCUGGCGGCAGGCCUAACACAUGCAAGUCGAGCGGAAACGAGUUAUCUGAACCUUCGGGGAACGAUAACGGCGUCGAGCGGCGGACGGGUGAGUAAUGCCUAGGAAAUUGCCCUGAUGUGGGGGAUAACCAUUGGAAACGAUGGCUAAUACCGCAUAAUGCCUACGGGCCAAAGAGGGGGACCUUCGGGCCUCUCGCGUCAGGAUAUGCCUAGGUGGGAUUAGCUAGUUGGUGAGGUAAGGGCUCACCAAGGCGACGAUCCCUAGCUGGUCUGAGAGGAUGAUCAGCCACACUGGAACUGAGACACGGU
Molecule: ribosomal RNA, 343 nt
Filed under: Vibrio alginolyticus
Lineage: Bacteria; Pseudomonadati; Pseudomonadota; Gammaproteobacteria; Vibrionales; Vibrionaceae
Description: bacterial SSU rRNA
Rfam family: Bacterial small subunit ribosomal RNA
Source: RNAcentral